This 210-nucleotide long non-coding RNA is filed under the name Elaeis guineensis (African oil palm). RNAcentral describes it as "long non-coding RNA (EGUI_LNC048381)". Lineage: Eukaryota; Viridiplantae; Streptophyta; Magnoliopsida; Arecales; Arecaceae. The record is from RNAcentral.
GAAAGAAAUUGCUUGAUUGAUAGUGGCAGGCUCUUGGCUGAGUUUGAUAGAUUUUGACUUUUUCUUCCUCUCAAUUCUGGCAGCUUGAGUCUUCCUCUUCUACGGAAGAGACACCCCUUUGGGAGGAAACAUAUAGCCAGUCGGCAUAUGGGUGUUUCUUUAAUAUGAAGAGAGCUCGAAAAAGUAGAAUUGGAGGUCGGACUCCCAUCU